RNAcentral lists this ribosomal RNA (207 nucleotides) under uncultured bacterium. Its description in RNAcentral is "partial 16S ribosomal RNA". It matches the Rfam family "Bacterial small subunit ribosomal RNA", at positions 568 to 774 of the family's 1533-position model. The record is from RNAcentral.
CGUGUAGGCGGCCAGGUAGGUCGGUUGUGAAAACUGGAGGCUUAACCUCCAGACGUCGACCGAAACCAUCUGGCUAGAGUCCGGAAGAGGAGAGUGGAAUUCCUGGUGUAGCGGUGAAAUGCGCAGAUAUCAGGAAGAACACCCGUGGCUAAGGCGGCUCUCUAGUACGGUACUGACGCUGAGACGCGAAAGCGUGGGGAGCGAACA